RNAcentral lists this ribosomal RNA (490 nucleotides) under uncultured bacterium. RNAcentral's name for it is "bacterial SSU rRNA". It matches the Rfam family "Bacterial small subunit ribosomal RNA", at positions 28 to 517 of the family's 1533-position model. The record is from RNAcentral.
GAUGAACGCUAGCGGCAGGCUUAACACAUGCAAGUCGAGGGGUAUUGGUUUUCGGACCAAGAGACCGGCGCACGGGUGCGUAACGCGUAUGCAAUCUACCUUUUGCAGAGGGAUAGCCCCAGAGAAAUUUGGAUUAAUACCUCAUAGUAUAGUACUUUGGCAUCAAGGAACUAUUAAAGUCACAACGGCAAAAGAUGAGCAUGCGUCCCAUUAGCUAGUUGGUAAGGUAACGGCUUACCAAGGCUACGAUGGGUAGGGUCCUGAGAGGGAGAUCCCCCCANACUGGUACUGAGACACGGACCAGACUCCUACGGGAGGCAGCAGUGAGGAAUAUUGGACAAUGGGCGCAAGCCUGAUCCAGCCAUGCCGCGUGCAGGAUGACGGUCCUAUGGAUUGUAAACUGCUUUUGUACAGGAAGAAACACUACUUCGUGAAGUAGCUUGACGGUACUGUAAGAAUAAGGAUCGGCUAAACUCCGUGCCAGCAGCCG